GUAAGGGUGGUACACGAACAAGGGCUGGGCAAGACCGGUGCCAGCCGCCGCGGUAAUACCGGCAGCCCGAGUGAUGGCCGAUCUUAUUGGGCCUAAAGCGUCCGUAGCUGGCUGUGCAAGUCCGUCGGGAAAUCCACUCGCUCAACGAGUGGGCGUCCGGUGGAAACUGCUCGGCUUGGGACCGGAAGGCUCGAAGGGUACGUCCGGGGUAGGAGUGAAAUCCUGUAAUCCUGUACGGACCACCGAUGGCGAAAGCACUUCGAGAAAACGGAUCCGACAGUGAGGGACGAAAGCCAGGGUCUCGAACCGGAUUAGAUACCCGGGUAGUCCAGCCGUAAACAAUGUCGCUAGGUGUGACACAGACUGGGACUCGCCCGCCGCGCCCCGCGCCCGUCCCGCCG
Molecule: ribosomal RNA, 401 nt
Filed under: uncultured haloarchaeon
Lineage: Archaea; Methanobacteriati; Methanobacteriota; Halobacteria; Halobacteriales; Halobacteriaceae
Description: bacterial SSU rRNA
Rfam family: Archaeal small subunit ribosomal RNA
Source: RNAcentral